GUCAGGAGAAGAGAGAGCUUCUUUGAAGUCCUGUUUUGGUUUUUGCCUAGUAACAGUUUUAUUGAAAGUAUUUUGUUGCUGCUAUAUCUGAGGGGUACCCAGAAUUUCAAGCCGGGGAUGCGCUGCGAUCCAAAACCCAGAAACUGGAUAUAACUGGUGUGUUUUGGAUGGCGUGCAGGCACGUGCAUCCACUGAAGUUCCUGAACCUGAAAAGAGGAGAGAAAUAAACAGUCCCGAUCUGAAGGUUGGACACCACAUUUGCAGUCCAGGACUUUCAUGCCAUGCUCAUAAUGCUGACUGUCAGAUCAGAGGAAUGACCAUUGACGAGGCCAUUGCACAGCUUAAGUUCAACGACAAAAAGGGGACAAUGAGAGGCCCAGGAGAUGGCAGUCCAUAAUCAAAGUGGAAUACAAGUCCAAUUUAUAUGUUGUGGAAUCAUUCUCCAAAAAGGGGAAGUACCUGAAACGUAUCCGUUUCCAUGGCAGAGGAAUGUUUGCGAUCAUGGAUGAAGUUUACUGUCACUACUUUGUCAAGCUGGUGGAAGGGCUCCCAGCUAAGGUGGAACAGAAGACAAGCUGUUCCAGUCGCACCAUUAUCCACGCACUAUAGGGCAACUAAUAAACUCUGUUUGGGAUUUGAUA
Salvelinus sp. IW2-2015 is the source of this 641-nucleotide long non-coding RNA. RefSeq lists it as uncharacterized. NCBI's taxonomy places the organism in Eukaryota, Metazoa, Chordata, Actinopteri, Salmoniformes, Salmonidae. The record is from RefSeq and is a predicted model, not a curated record.